Long non-coding RNA from Myiozetetes cayanensis, 205 nucleotides. RefSeq lists it as uncharacterized. The record is from RefSeq and is a predicted model, not a curated record. The transcript is spliced from 3 exons. NCBI's taxonomy places the organism in Eukaryota, Metazoa, Chordata, Aves, Passeriformes, Tyrannidae.
AGAAGAAGAAUAUCUUCGCUUUCUCCAAGAUCUCACUAAUGAUAUUUUGAUUACAAGUUGUUACCACGGAGAGGCAUUAGAAGAUGUGAUUCAAAUGCACAUUAAAAGUAAGAGGCAUAACCUUGAUGAGGGAGUGAGACUGCUAAUUCCAGCCUUGAGAGGGAUUUAAUGCUCCAGUCCUCCUCUAGAUCCUACUUUAAAGACC